RNAcentral lists this ribosomal RNA (374 nucleotides) under uncultured bacterium. RNAcentral describes it as "bacterial SSU rRNA". It matches the Rfam family "Bacterial small subunit ribosomal RNA", at positions 116 to 525 of the family's 1533-position model. The record is from RNAcentral.
CGUGGGAAUGUGCCCUUCUCUACGGAAUAGCCUUUGGAAACGAAGAGUAAUACCGUAUACGCCCUUCGGGGGAAAGAUUUAUCGGAGAAGGAUCAGCCCGCGUUAGAUUAGAUAGUUGGUGGGGUAAUGGCCUACCAAGUCUACGAUCUAUAGCUGGUUUUAGAGGAUGAUCAGCAACACUGGGACUGAGACACGGCCCAGACUCCUACGGGAGGCAGCAGUGGGGAAUCUUAGACAAUGGGCGCAAGCCUGAUCUAGCCAUGCCGCGUGAGUGAUGAAGGCCUUAGGGUCGUAAAGCUCUUUCGCCAGAGAUGAUAAUGACAGUAUCUGGUAAAGAAACCCCGGCUAACUCCGUGCCAGCAGCCGCGGUAAUA